CUAAAACCCAAACCUGAUGGUACUGUUCUAUAACAGUGUUUUGACAUAAUUGCCCUUCGCUGCUGCUGAGUUUGAGGCUUUUUUCCUGUUUAGAACAGUUAAUUUACAGAUUUGCCCUCAUUUGGUGCUGUCUGCUGCUUAUGCUUGGCUUGGACUUUGUUUCACUUUUUUUUUAUUGGUUCCGUUUGUUUUUGCUACAGUGCAGAACAGUUUUGUCAAGCCCACCUGUUGGUCAUCGCGUGGUGCUUUGUUUGUGUCUUAUUUUCUUCCCUUUUGUUUCCUCUCAGUUCCAACUUUCCCUCACCGUCGCUCUCACUGGUUUUGUUUCCUCUCAUUUCCAUCUUUGGCUCGCGAUCGCUCUCAGAGCUCAAAUCCUUUUUGCCUCAAAAAUUUCUGCUUCGGGUCGUCGUAGAUUUUCGUGCUGUUGCUUUCAGUCGGUGUUUUGUGCGGUUCUGCAGCUUGCAGUUGCUGGGAAAAUAAGAAAUCAGUGUUUUUAUGAAAAUUCACCUUCAAAGAUUGAGUAAAAAUAUAUAAAGGUUGUUGGUGAUCGGUAUAAAGACAAAAUAAAAAAGGUAUGAAUAAAAUGUUAGAAAUUAUAUGAUUUGAUUUGAUUUUGUAAUGUACAAAAUUCUUUUUAUAUUUUUCAGAUUAAAUAGGUUUAGGACUGUAUUGGUUAAAUCUAAUUAAAUUUUUGAAAUUUUCUAUGAACAAUAUUUUGUUUCAUUACAGGAUUUGGUGGUUCUACUUUGGGUUGAGAAAGGAAAAAAAAAAAAAAGACAAUUUUGUUGGCAAUCAAUAUAAAGACAUAACACAAAAGGUUCUCACAAAAUUGUGCAACGUAGAAUUUUAAAGCAUUUGGUUUUGUGGUGCAAGGCUUUUGGUGUUUAAGGCAAGUGCUUUAAAUUCUGGAACUGUUUCUUUUAAAGCAUAAAUAUAUAAUUUUAUUUUUCUUUUUACAAGCAUUGUUAUGUUUGUUAUUUUAUUUAUCCUUCAUUCCAUUAAAAUUCCAAUAUUUUAGUGUUUUUCUCAUGUAUUUAUUAAUUUUGUUCCUUUUUUUUUUUUACAGCUUAAUUUACAACUAUUUGUUUGUAAAUUGCUUAGAACAAAUUUUUCACACUAUGUCUAAAAGAGCUGCAAAAAAUUUAACAAUUACACCUGUCCAGCGCGAACAAAAUACUGUGGAUGAUGAAUAUACUCAGGUUUUCAAACAUAAUCAUCAACCAAAAAAAGUGUGUAGAAAUAUAUAUAUGGAAAAUUGUGCGCACGCUCUUUUACCUCAAAUUGAUGAAUUUGUUUCUACAAAUUUGUUCUUAGACCAUCAGUCUAGCAGCAGUCAAUCAGAAACAAAUUUGUUCUUAGACCAUCAAUCUAGCAGCAAUCUAUCUGGUGGCAUGCAAUGUUUAGGUCAAAAUAUUAUUCAUGGUGAAACACAACAUGUGAUUUGCAAUCGACAAAUUUCUGACCCAUAUGAUAAAAAAGGAAAAAAUGUUGUUGAUGUCUCAAGGGAUGUUGAAAACACAGUUAAAAAAGCUUUACACGUUGAGAAUUCCAAUCUUAUAAAUAGAGGUCAAGCAUUUUUCCAAAAAAACAGGACUGGUAUGUAUUUUUUGUCUUAUAUAAUAAUUUCUUAUCUCAAAAUUUUACAUUAUUUUCUACUUAAUGAUUUGUUUGUAAUAUUGAUUUUUUUAAUAUAUCUUUUUGUAUAGGUAUUGUCAAAGAGUAUGCAGACUUGGGGGAUAAAAAUUAUAAAUGUAGUUAUUGUGGUGCUUAUUUUUGGUUAAAAGAAUCUCUUAAACAAACAUGCACAAAAAAUGAACCCGUUUUUACUCUUUGUUGUCAACAAGGAAAAAUAAGCCUUCCAAUUGCAAAACCAACUCCAUAUUUAUUAGAUUUAUUGCUUGAUCCAAAUGGAGGUCAAAAAAGUU
Pyrus x bretschneideri (Chinese white pear) is the source of this 1925-nucleotide long non-coding RNA. RefSeq lists it as uncharacterized. The transcript is spliced from 3 exons. Lineage: Eukaryota; Viridiplantae; Streptophyta; Magnoliopsida; Rosales; Rosaceae. The record is from RefSeq and is a predicted model, not a curated record.